AGGAAUGGAACUUCCUUUUCACUCUGAUUACAGCCUGCUACACUUCUCUUUUCACACUCACUAUAAUACAGUGAAUGCUCACAGUAAUCAGCUCUCUUUCAUAUGGGUUCUGCCUUUCACUGAACAUGUGGUUUCCAGUUGAUCAUAGAACAGGCACUGAACAGAAAUAAAAACUGGAGUGUGCAGGAUCAGUGGUUGGCAUCCAGGGGCAGGUUCGGUUCAUUAUCACAGAGACAACCUCAGAGACUUUGGCGUUCUGGGUGAAGGAAGAAAGAAGAGAAUAUACAUGGAAAUCCAGGGUGUAGAUACUGCUCAUCAACAUAAGGCAAAUUCUUCCUGCGCCUCUCAAUACAGAGGAGGCGAGAACUCACAGAAUCACAGAAUUAGAGCACUGGCUUUGGCAUGAGAACACCGACCCCUUCUGUCAAGUUUUGACAGGGCCCAUGGAUGACCAGCAAGAGCCUCCUUUUAGUUAUAGGUGAUCAUGUGCCCAAGUUCUCACCAACGCGAUGCAAGUAGAAGUGACCUGCAAAACUUCCCUGUUGCAUUACAUCCUUAAAAUAAAUUUGAUUAAGUUCUU
Molecule: long non-coding RNA, 580 nt
Organism: Pongo pygmaeus (Bornean orangutan)
Lineage: Eukaryota; Metazoa; Chordata; Mammalia; Primates; Hominidae
Exons: 4
Source: RefSeq, a predicted model, not a curated record